Long non-coding RNA from Manihot esculenta (cassava), 465 nucleotides. RefSeq lists it as uncharacterized. The transcript has 3 exons. Lineage: Eukaryota; Viridiplantae; Streptophyta; Magnoliopsida; Malpighiales; Euphorbiaceae. The record is from RefSeq and is a predicted model, not a curated record.
CUCUCAUCACGUUUACUCUCCUCAUAUUAACUCUCUUUUACUGAAAUUCAGUCGACUCAAAUUCAAUAGCAAUUUCUGAAAGUUUGGGGUACAAUUUUCAUUGUAAGGCUAUAAUAUCGAAUUAUUAAAAACAAACAGGAAUGGACAGCUCAAAUGAUAGUAGAUUAUUUAUUAACCCAGGACCACGUGAUCCUUCAUUGUUAUAUCUCCAAGCAUCUCAUAGGUCCCAAGUCGUGUGGGAUGAUCCACAAGAGGCCGGUGUAAUCACAUGCCGACGAUCAUCUACUGUAUUACACGGUCAUGAUAUUGAUGACAGGCUUAUCCCUUAUCUCCGUGCUAGUGGAUUUUAUGGAGCUGUUCGAUUAGGGUUCUUCCAUUUAGAUCACCACCUCAUAACAGCUUUGGUUGAGAGAUGGAGACCAGAAACACAUACUUUCAUGUUACCCCAUGGGGAGUGUACAGUUA